Small nuclear RNA from Phodopus roborovskii (desert hamster), 144 nucleotides. RefSeq annotates it as U4 spliceosomal RNA. The transcript has a single exon. NCBI's taxonomy places the organism in Eukaryota, Metazoa, Chordata, Mammalia, Rodentia, Cricetidae. The record is from RefSeq and is a predicted model, not a curated record.
AGCUUUGCAGAAUGCCAACAUUGUAGUCAGUGAGGUUUAUCUGAGGCAUAAAUGAUUAUAGCUAAUUAAAAACUUUUCCCAAUACCCUGCCAUGAGGACUUGAAAUACAGUUGGCAUUGGCAACUCCAUAUUUCUCUAUGGAGA